RNAcentral lists this ribosomal RNA (427 nucleotides) under uncultured Pseudomonas sp. RNAcentral's name for it is "bacterial SSU rRNA". It matches the Rfam family "Bacterial small subunit ribosomal RNA", at positions 353 to 772 of the family's 1533-position model. Lineage: Bacteria; Pseudomonadati; Pseudomonadota; Gammaproteobacteria; Pseudomonadales; Pseudomonadaceae. The record is from RNAcentral.
AGUGGGGAAUAUUGGACAAUGGGCGAAAGCCUGAUCCAGCCAUGCCGCGUGUGUGAAGAAGGUCUUCGGAUUGUAAAGCACUUUAAGUUGGGAGGAAGGGCAGUAAGCGAAUACCUUGCUGUUUUGACGUUACCAACAGAAUAAGCACCGGCUAACUCUGUGCCAGCAGCCGCGGUAAUACAGAGGGUGCGAGCGUUAAUCGGAAUUACUGGGCGUAAAGCGCGCGUAGGUGGUUCGUUAAGUUGGAUGUGAAAGCCCCGGGCUCAACCUGGGAACUGCAUCCAAAACUGGCGAGCUAGAGUAUGGCAGAGGGUGGUGGAAUUUCCUGUGUAGCGGUGAAAUGCGUAGAUAUAGGAAGGAACACCAGUGGCGAAGGCGACCACCUGGGCUAAUACUGACACUGAGGUGCGAAAGCGUGGGGAGCAAA